RNAcentral lists this long non-coding RNA (202 nucleotides) under Populus trichocarpa (black cottonwood). RNAcentral describes it as "long non-coding RNA (PTRI_LNC001501)". Lineage: Eukaryota; Viridiplantae; Streptophyta; Magnoliopsida; Malpighiales; Salicaceae. The record is from RNAcentral.
AGGUUUUUUUUUAUAAUUUUACCAUUUUUUCUCUUUUUUUUUCUCAGAUCUGCUAGUUCUACCAAUUGUUUUUUGAAUUCUUGUUAUAGUGAUUUUUUUUCUAAUUAAUUAGAUAUAUUUUAUUGGUUUGUUUUGAUUAUGCUUGGAUUUUUUUAUGUUAUGUUUUUAGCAGAGCCACCAAAAUUAUCAAUUUUUUCUUACG